RNAcentral lists this ribosomal RNA (1349 nucleotides) under uncultured marine eukaryote. RNAcentral describes it as "SSU rRNA". It matches the Rfam family "Eukaryotic small subunit ribosomal RNA", at positions 409 to 1775 of the family's 1831-position model. The record is from RNAcentral.
CGCAUUACAGGGAGGAGCAGGCGCGCAAUUACCCAAUCCUGACUCAGGGAGGUAGUGACAAGAAAUAACAAUAAACCGGCUUAUGCCGGUUUAAUUGGAAUGAGUACAAUUUAAACAUCUUAACGAGGAACAAUUGGAGGGCAAGUCUGGUGCCAGCAGCCGCGGUAAUUCCAGCUCCAAUAGCGUAUACUAAAGUUGUUGCAGUUAAAAAGCUCGUAGUUGGAUUUCUGUGGGGACGGAGCGGCCGGCCGCACAUCGCGGUUCGAGCUAGCGCUUUCCCUACAUCCUGCCGCGAACCGUGCUACCAUUAGUUUGGUGGCGCCGGGGAUCGGCUCGAUUACUUUGAGAAAAAUAGAGUGUUCAAAGCAGGCCACAUGCCUUGAAUAAGUUAGCAUGGAAUAAUAACUAAGGACUUCGGUUCUAUUUUGUUGGUGUUCGGGACUGAAGUAAUGAUUGAUAGGGACAGUUGGGGCGGUCUGUAUUCCAAAGCGAGAGGUGAAAUUCUUAGACCUUCGGAAGACAAACAGCUGCGAAAGCGUUCCGCAAGGAUGUUCCCUUUGAUCAAGAACGAAAGUUGGGGGAUCGAAGACGAUCAGAUACCGUCGUAGUCUCAACUAUAAACUAUACCAGCUAGGGAUCGGCCAACGUUAUUUUAUACCGACUUGGUCGGCACCUUAUGAGAAAUCAAAGCAUCUGGGUUCCGGGGGGAGUAUGGUCGCAAGGCUGAAACUUAAAGGAAUUGACGGAAGGGCACCACCAGCCGUGGAGCCUGUGGCUUAAUUUGACUCAACACGGGAAAACUUACCAGGUCCAGACAUAGUAAGGAUUGACAGAUUGAUAGCUCUUUCUUGAUUCUGUGGGUGGUGGUGCAUGGCCGUUCUUAGUUGGUGGAGUGAUUUGUCUGGUUAAUUCCGUUAACGAACGAGACCCCAGCCUGCUAAAUAGCGCGCGUGAGCUUUGCUCGCGGCGAGCUUCUUAGAGGGACUAUGAUGCGCGAUAGCACAUGGAAGUUUGGGGCAAUAACAGGUCUGUGAUGCCCUUAGAUGUUCUGGGCCGCACACGGGCUACACUGGCGCCUGCAACGAGCAUAUCAGCUGGCCUGAGAGGGUCUUGGCUAAUCUUUUGAACCGGCGCCGUGCUUGGGAUUGACCUUUGCAAUUGUUGGUCAUGCAACGAGGAAUGCCUUGUAAACGCGAGUCAUCAGCUCGCAUUGAAUACGUCCCUGCCCUUUGUACACACCGCCCGUCGCUCCUACCGAUGAAUGUUCCGAUGAAAUUGUCGGAGAGCACCUGUGAACUUGGCUCUGCCUUGCGAACGGGAGGCUCAAAGUCACUAAAUCUGAACAUUAA